AGCUAAACGACUCAACAACAACAAAAGUAAGAGAUGAACGAGGCAGCGGCAGCCCCGCUCCGGACUCACUCAUGAUUCCCAGUUACCGAGUUCAGAAUUAUUCCGCUGCAAACAAGAAAAGACACAAGUUUCUGCUAAGAAUCCAGAGACGGGAGAAAUAGGAUUUAUCCGAGAAGGUCUUUCAUUUCCCUAACGAGGCAUGGUAACCCUAUGGGAUGUUCUCAUCAGUGAUGCAGCCCAAGACAACAUUUCCUCUUGCCCAGAGGGGACACCCAGGAGAGUGUGGCUCCAGCCAGGAGGAUUUCCUGACACACCUGGUCUGGAGGCUCCUCCCCCUGGGCGUGACCAGGUAGAGGGGCGUGGCCCUGGCAGAUCCUGCAAAACGCACCCUCCUCUUUUUUCCUCUUUUUUGCUCUCUUGCCAGCAGCGCAUGGCUCACCCUCGCAGAGUCUGGAAGUCACAAGGGAGAACAUCUUAGGCUUAGCUCAGGCUUCUUUUCUCUGCAAAUUGAACUGGAACCACAAGACAAAGCCUGCCUUUCAGAUUUACUGCUGUGAGCAGAAUAUUUUGAGAUGGCGAGUGCAGCUUUCUCUGGUUACGGAUACCGAGCAAUGCCUAAGUUAAAUGAACACAAUUUUGUUAUUUGGAAAAAGCGUCUGUUGGUGAUCCUUGAAGCGGAAGGGAAUUUAGAUGCCAUUGAAAUGCCUAUGCCCACUGGCACGAGUGAAGAAGAUUUGGCUAGAAUUAAGUUGUGGAAAUCACAAAACAGCAAAGCCAAGGUAACCAUAUUAGAUGGACUUGAAGACGAACAUUUGUCGCUAAUUGACAGUAGAGACCAUGCUGCGCAAAUUUUAAGUGAUUUGGAGCGGAUGUAUGGAGGCAGCGUGAAGAGUGAAUUGGAGCUUUCGUCUGGAAACAUCAGUAAGUGUGCUCAAUGGAGAAUAUUAAUACGCGAUCUUUUAAAGCUUAGAAUGAAUUCUAAAGCAGAGUUUUCAAAACAUGUGAAUGAAUUUACGGCUAUACUGCAGAAAAUCCAACUGGCUGGGCGUCCAUUUGAUGAAGACGAAAAGGUUGCGUGCUUCCUAGCAACACUAGGACCCAAAUUUGAUACAUUUGCUUACUUAAGGGAGGAUAAAGGCCAAUCUACUUUUAAAGAUGUGAUUGCCUAUUGGAGGCAGGAGUGCCAAGGGAGAGACGAGUCUCCAGUCAGAAACCUAAGGAGCAGUGACUCCGAUUAUGUCUCUAGACAUCACGCGAAGGCCAAAGGCACACCUAAGAAAGUUGUGUGUUUUAAUUGCCACAAAGGAGGCCACAUUGCGAAGAACUGCAGAGCUCCAAAAACACCAAAACCCCUUCCUUUUAAGCAAGAAAAGGAAAAGAAGGGGAAUUAUCAGCGUCCUUGCUUUUGCCAGAAAAGUGCUUAACUGCUAAUAAUCGCGAAAACAAAUCAAGUUAGCGGGGCAACGUCCCAUUUUCCAUAUAAUAAGGACUUCUUUGAAGAUUAUAAUAUUGAUAAAUCACAAGGUGGUGAUAUUGAAGUUGCAGGUGGCAACAUUCGUUCCCUAUCUUCCAGAACUGAAAUAUGCUCAGUGUGUCUACUUUGGGCAGAAAAGGUUUUCUUUCUUUUUAAAAAAAAUAUUUUUUUAUUAGUUUUUACACAUAUUUUCCAGUACAACAUCCUUUUAAAUGUCAUUUCGAAAUUUUUGGCUAUUGCAGCCUAAGACUUCCUUCAACCUCGACUGCUGGUUUUCUAAACUAUGCAUUUUGUUGCUAUAAUUAUUGCUAUAAACUCAAAUUUCCAAUACAUCUAUUCUUAAUUCUUUUCACAAUAAUUAAUAAAUGACUCCUUACAAAACUUCUUCUAACCCUACAAGCGAUGUCAAUUGGUUACAAUUGCUUUCCAAAUAUAUCGAAAACUUCUUCCAUUCCUUUAGGAAAUUCUGGUCCUGCUUGUUCCGAAUUUUCCCUGUUAGUCUCGCCAUCUCAGCAUAGUUCAUCAGUUUCUCUUUCCACUCUUCUUUAGUUGAAAUUUCUUCUUGUUUCCAUCUUUGGGCUAAUAGUAUCUUUGCUGCAGUUAUCGCAUAUGAAAACAAUUUUUUAUCAUUCUUAUGAAUUUCUGUACCCACAAUAGAAGGACAGAAAAGUUUUUCAAGUAGUAUUUGGAAACUGAGAAUGCAAAGUAACUAAGAAUGGUGAGGUCCAAGCCAAGCGAAUAAAAGGUGUAUAUGAGGUUAAUCUUUCAGUACUUCUGUCUGCAAAAGUGGUGCGCUCAAACCACAAGGAUGAGGCGGACCUCAAACUCUGGCACAGAAGACUUGGACACAGAGACACCAACGCCAUACUGGACCUCCAAAAGAACGAGCUUGCGAGGGGACUGCAGGUAACA
Non-coding RNA from Podarcis muralis (Common wall lizard), 2386 nucleotides. NCBI's taxonomy places the organism in Eukaryota, Metazoa, Chordata, Lepidosauria, Squamata, Lacertidae. The record is from RefSeq and is a predicted model, not a curated record.